AUAAUGAUACUUCCCUAAGGGGGCUGGCGGAAAACCCGGCAGAGGUGAAACUCCUAUGA
RNAcentral lists this non-coding RNA (59 nucleotides) under unclassified sequences. RNAcentral's name for it is "pemK RNA". It matches the Rfam family "pemK RNA". The record is from RNAcentral.